Molecule: ribosomal RNA, 877 nt
Filed under: Ectophoma multirostrata
Lineage: Eukaryota; Fungi; Ascomycota; Dothideomycetes; Pleosporales; Didymellaceae
Description: partial large subunit ribosomal RNA
Rfam family: Eukaryotic large subunit ribosomal RNA
Source: RNAcentral
ACCUUUACCCGGUGGAAACUAAGCAUAUCAAUAAGCGGAGGAAAAGAAACCAACAGGGAUUGCCCUAGUAACGGCGAGUGAAGCGGCAACAGCUCAAAUUUGAAAUCUGGCGUCUUCGGCGUCCGAGUUGUAAUUUGCAGAGGGCGCUUUGGCAUUGGCAGCGGUCCAAGUUCCUUGGAACAGGACGUCACAGAGGGUGAGAAUCCCGUACGUGGUCGCUAGCCUUUACCGUGUAAAGCCCCUUCGACGAGUCGAGUUGUUUGGGAAUGCAGCUCUAAAUGGGAGGUAAAUUUCUUCUAAAGCUAAAUACUGGCCAGAGACCGAUAGCGCACAAGUAGAGUGAUCGAAAGAUGAAAAGCACUUUGGAAAGAGAGUUAAAAAGCACGUGAAAUUGUUGAAAGGGAAGCGCUUGCAGCCAGACUUGCCUGUAGUUGCUCAUCCGGGUUUCUACCCGGUGCACUCUUCUAUAGGCAGGCCAGCAUCAGUUUGGGCGGUUGGAUAAAGGUCUCUGUCAUGUACCUCCUUUCGGGGAGAACUUAUAGGGGAGACGACAUGCAACCAGCCCGGACUGAGGUCCGCGCAUCUGCUAGGAUGCUGGCGUAAUGGCUGUAAGCGGCCCGUCUUGAAACACGGACCAAGGAGUCUAACAUCUAUGCGAGUGUUUGGGUGUCAAGCCCGAACGCGUAAUGAAAGUGAACGGAGGUGGGAACCUUUCGGGGUGCACCAUCGACCGAUCCUGAUGUCUUCGGAUGGAUUUGAGUAAGAGCAUAGCUGUUGGGACCCGAAAGAUGGUGAACUAUGCUUGAAUAGGGUGAAGCCAGAGGAAACUCUGGUGGAGGCUCGCAGCGGUUCUGACGUGCCAAAUCGUAUCGUCCAA